RNAcentral lists this ribosomal RNA (380 nucleotides) under uncultured bacterium. RNAcentral's name for it is "bacterial SSU rRNA". It matches the Rfam family "Bacterial small subunit ribosomal RNA", at positions 9 to 369 of the family's 1533-position model. The record is from RNAcentral.
GAGUUUGAUCGUGGCUCAGGAUGAACGCUGGCGGCGUGCUUAACACAUGCAAGUCGAACGGAGUGCCUUUGAAAGAGGAUUCGUCCAAUUGAUAAGGUUACUUAGUGGCGGACGGGUGAGUAACGCGUGAGGAACCUGCCUUGGAGUGGGGAAUAACACAGUGAAAAUUGUGCUAAUACCGCAUAAUGCAGUUGGGCCGCAUGGCUCUGACUGCCAAAGAUUUAUCGCUCUGAGAUGGCCUCGCGUCUGAUUAGCUAGUUGGUGGGUAACGGCCUACCAAGGCGAUGAUCAGUAGCCGGCCUGAGAGGGCGACCGGCCAACAUUGGGACUGAGACACGGCCCAAAACUCCUACGGGAGGCAGCAGUGGGGAAUAUUGCAC